RNAcentral lists this ribosomal RNA (253 nucleotides) under uncultured bacterium. Its description in RNAcentral is "partial 16S ribosomal RNA". It matches the Rfam family "Bacterial small subunit ribosomal RNA", at positions 524 to 776 of the family's 1533-position model. The record is from RNAcentral.
UACGGAGGGUGCGAGCGUUGUUCGGAAUUACUGGGCGUAAAGAGUGCGUAGGCGGUUCAGCAAGUUGGAAGUGAAAUCCCGGGGCUCAACCUCGGAAUUGCUUUCAAAACUGCUGAUCUAGAGUAUGGUAGGGGAUAGUGGAAUUCCUAGUGUAGGGGUGAAAUCCGUAGAUAUUAGGAGGAACACCAGAGGCGAAGGCGACUAUCUGGGCCAUUACUGACGCUAAGGUCCGAAAGCGUGGGGAGCAAACAGG